GAUGAACGCUGGCGGCGUGCCUAAUACAUGCAAGUCGAGCGAACAGACGAGGAGCUUGCUCCUUUGACGUUAGCGGCGGACGGGUGAGUAACACGUGGGUAACCUACCUAUAAGACUGGGAUAACUUCGGGAAACCGGAGCUAAUACCGGAUAAUAUUUCGAACCGCAUGGUUCGAUAGUGAAAGAUGGCUUUGCUAUCACUUAUAGAUGGACCUGCGCCGUAUUAGCUAGUUGGUAAGGUAACGGCUUACCAAGGCAACGAUACGUAGCCGACCUGAGAGGGUGAGCGGCCACACUGGAACUGAGACACGGUCCAGACUCCUACGGGAGGCAGCGGUAGGGAAGCUGCCGCAAUGGGCGAAAGCCUGACGGAGCAACGCCGCGUGAGUGAUGAAGGUCUUCGGAUCGUAAAACUCUGUUAUUAGGGAAGAACAAACGUGUAAGUAACUGUGCACGUCUUGACGGUACCUAAUCAGAAAGCCACGGCUAACUACGUG
RNAcentral lists this ribosomal RNA (497 nucleotides) under uncultured bacterium. RNAcentral describes it as "partial 16S ribosomal RNA". It matches the Rfam family "Bacterial small subunit ribosomal RNA", at positions 28 to 507 of the family's 1533-position model. The record is from RNAcentral.